AUACGGAGGAUCCGAGCGUUAUCCGGAUUUAUUGGGUUUAAAGGGAGCGUAGAUGGAUGUUUAAGUCAGUUGUGAAAGUUUGCGGCUCAACCGUAAAAUUGCAGUUGAUACUGGAUAUCUUGAGUGCGGUUGAGGCAGGCGGAAUUUGUGGGGUAGGGGUGAAAUGCUUAGAUAUCACGAAGAACUCCGAUUGCGAAGGCAGCCUGCUAAGCUGCAACUGACAUUGAGGCUCGAAAGUGUGGGUAUCAAACAGGAUUAGAUACCCUGGUAGUCCACACGGUAAACGAUGAAUACUCGCUGUUUGCGAUAUACAGCAAGCGGCCAAGCGAAAGCGUUAAGUAUUCCACCUGGGGAGUACGGCCGCAAGGUUGAAACUCAAAGGAAUUGACGGGG
This 393-nucleotide ribosomal RNA is filed under the name uncultured bacterium. RNAcentral's name for it is "partial 16S ribosomal RNA". It matches the Rfam family "Bacterial small subunit ribosomal RNA", at positions 523 to 918 of the family's 1533-position model. The record is from RNAcentral.